RNAcentral lists this ribosomal RNA (465 nucleotides) under uncultured bacterium. RNAcentral describes it as "partial 16S ribosomal RNA". It matches the Rfam family "Bacterial small subunit ribosomal RNA", at positions 28 to 507 of the family's 1533-position model. The record is from RNAcentral.
GACGAACGCUGGCGGCGUGCUUAACACAUGCAAGUCGAACGGAAAGGCCCUGCUUGCAGGGUACUCGAGUGGCGAACGGGUGAGUAACACGUGGGUGAUCUGCCCUGCACUUCGGGAUAAGCCUGGGAAACUGGGUCUAAUACCGGAUAGGAGCCAUUUUUAGUGUGAUGGUUGGAAAGUUUUUUCGGUGUAGGAUGAGCUCGCGGCCUAUCAGCUUGUUGGUGGGGUAAUGGCCUACCAAGGCGGCGACGGGUAGCCGGCCUGAGAGGGUGGACGGGCAAAAUGGGAAUGGGAUACCGCCCAGACCCCCUCGGGGGGCAAGCGGUGGGAAUAUUUGCACAAGGGGCGAAGCCUGAUUCCGGGACGGCGGGGUGGGGAUUACCGCCUUUCGGUUGGUAACUUCUUUCCCUAGGGAACAAGCUUUUUGUGACGGUACCUAGAUAAGAAGCCACGGCUAACUACGUG